UGGUUUGAGGCUUGAAGAA
RNAcentral lists this small nuclear RNA (19 nucleotides) under Arabidopsis thaliana (thale cress). Its description in RNAcentral is "snRNA_14903". The record is from RNAcentral. Lineage: Eukaryota; Viridiplantae; Streptophyta; Magnoliopsida; Brassicales; Brassicaceae.